RNAcentral lists this ribosomal RNA (575 nucleotides) under Peptostreptococcus stomatis. RNAcentral describes it as "bacterial SSU rRNA". It matches the Rfam family "Bacterial small subunit ribosomal RNA", at positions 379 to 973 of the family's 1533-position model. Lineage: Bacteria; Bacillati; Bacillota; Clostridia; Peptostreptococcales; Peptostreptococcaceae. The record is from RNAcentral.
AAGCCUGAUGCAGCAACGCCGCGUGAACGAUGAAGGUCUUCGGAUCGUAAAGUUCUGUUGCAGGGGAAGAUAAUGACGGUACCCUGUGAGGAAGCCCCGGCUAACUACGUGCCAGCAGCCGCGGUAAUACGUAGGGGGCUAGCGUUAUCCGGAUUUACUGGGCGUAAAGGGUGCGUAGGUGGUCCUUCAAGUCGGUGGUUAAAGGCUACGGCUCAACCGUAGUAAGCCGCCGAAACUGGAGGACUUGAGUGCAGGAGAGGAAAGUGGAAUUCCCAGUGUAGCGGUGAAAUGCGUAGAUAUUGGGAGGAACACCAGUAGCGAAGGCGGCUUUCUGGACUGCAACUGACACUGAGGCACGAAAGCGUGGGUAGCAAACAGGAUUAGAUACCCUGGUAGUCCACGCUGUAAACGAUGAGUACUAGGUGUCGGGGGUUACCCCCCUCGGUGCCGCAGCUAACGCAUUAAGUACUCCGCCUGGGGAGUACGCACGCAAGUGUGAAACUCAAAGGAAUUGACGGGGACCCGCACAAGUAGCGGAGCAUGUGGUUUAAUUCGAAGCAACGCGAAGAACCUUA